Molecule: ribosomal RNA, 481 nt
Filed under: uncultured bacterium
Lineage: Bacteria
Description: partial 16S ribosomal RNA
Rfam family: Bacterial small subunit ribosomal RNA
Source: RNAcentral
GCCUAACACAUGCAAGUCGAACGGAACUUUUUUAAUUGAUUUCUUCGGAAUGAUUUUGAUUAAGUUUAGUGGCGGACGGGUGAGUAACGCGUGAGUAACCUGCCUCUGAGAGGGGAAUAACAUUCUGAAAGGAAUGCUAAUACCGCAUAAUAUAUAUUUAUCGAAUGGUAGAUAUAUCAAAGAUUUAUCGCUCAGAGAUGGACUCGCGUCCGAUUAGUUAGUUGGUGAGGUAACGGCUCACCAAGACCACGAUCGGUAGCCGGACUGAGAGGUUGAACGGCCACAUUGGGACUGAGACACGGCCCAGACUCCUACGGGAGGCAGCAGUGGGGGAUAUUGCGCAAUGGGGGAAACCCUGACGCAGCAACGCCGCGUGAAGGAUGAAGGUCUUCGGAUUGUGAACUUCUUUUAUUAAGGACGAAUAAAGUGACGGUACUUAAUGAAUAAGCUCCGGCUAACUACGUGCCAGCAGCCGCGGUAA